RNAcentral lists this signal recognition particle RNA (275 nucleotides) under Candidatus Aenigmarchaeota archaeon CG1_02_38_14. RNAcentral describes it as "signal recognition particle sRNA". It matches the Rfam family "Archaeal signal recognition particle RNA". RNAcentral also lists the same sequence under 7 other names. The record is from RNAcentral. Lineage: Archaea; Nanobdellati; Candidatus Aenigmatarchaeota.
CAAGGAACCGCUGGUUGGGAGGCUACCGGUCUCCUGUUAUCACAAAUCCGGUUCAUGGUGAAAUCAUAGUUCAAGGGCAGCUCAACGAUACACUCAAGCCCGGGUUUUGGACUGAGAAACCUCGUCUCCCAGGGUCGUUUGUAUGUUGAACGAGUCAGGUCCGGAAGGAAGCAGCUAUAAGGCAAACGUAAUGAUGCUUGCGAGCUCUCGGGGUGGAGAAAAAGACUCGGAUUAACUUGUUUGUAAAGUUGUUCUCACCUUGAGCAUGUUCCUUG